UUCUUCAAAAAGGAGUAAGGAGGAUUCUUUUUCUCUCAAACUUGUUCAUCUUCAAGUAAGUUCUUCAAGAAAUUUCUUCAAUAAUUCUAGCUUCUAAUCUAGUUUUGUUUUUGAAAAUUGUAGGGAGAUCUUGCAAGUACCAAAGGAAAGUAGAAAGGUAUCGAGAAUAAUUAAAGCCAGUCAAACUUUUGACUGUUGAUUUUUGUGUAAUCAAGAGUUUAGAGAAGAAGUUGCAGGUACAAGUUCUUGAUGUGCAUGGAAAUCAUAAGCAUCCGGAUGGGAGUUUUUCGUACACGAGUACUUUCUUAUUUAAGUUAUCUUGAAUUUUAUAUUUGACUUUACUUGACCAAUGGGGUCAAGGUUUGACUUUUGAAUAUGGGACUAGUAUGGGAUAGUCUCGGAGUUUGUAAUUCAUUUACAUACUUUCUUAUUUCCGUUGUAUUAAAGUAUUUUCAGUUUAUCUUAAAAGACUUCCGCUGUAUUAUCUGAUUAGCCUUACGUAUUAUCAUGCGUGGCAUAACAACUCCCGCAAUUUCUCCUAGUUUAUAAAAGGAGGAGUCGUGGGGGUGUUACAGUAUGGAUUUUUCCCUUAUCAUCCGAAAGGAUGUUUUAGGUUGGCCCCCUGAUUAGUGGGUGGGUUGCCUAAGUCUUUUUUCCUUACCAAAAAAAAAAU
Molecule: long non-coding RNA, 673 nt
Organism: Beta vulgaris subsp. vulgaris (sugar beet)
Lineage: Eukaryota; Viridiplantae; Streptophyta; Magnoliopsida; Caryophyllales; Amaranthaceae
Exons: 3
Source: RefSeq, a predicted model, not a curated record